GCAAGUCGAGCGGCAGCGGGUCCUUCGGGAUGCCGGCGAGCGGCGGACGGGUGAGUAAUGCCUAGGAAUCUGCCUGGUAGUGGGGGAUAACUCGGGGAAACUCGAGCUAAUACCGCAUACGUCCUACGGGAGAAAGCGGGGGAUCUUCGGACCUCGCGCUACCAGAUGAGCCUAGGUCGGAUUAGCUAGUUGGUGAGGUAAAGGCUCACCAAGGCUACGAUCCGUAGCUGGUCUGAGAGGAUGAUCAGCCACACUGGAACUGAGACACGGUCCAGACUCCUACGGGAGGCAGCAGUGGGGAAUAUUGGACAAUGGGCGAAAGCCUGAUCCAGCCAUGCCGCGUGUGUGAAGAAGGUCUUCGGAUUGUAAAGCACUUUAAGUUGGGAGGAAGGGCAGUAAGUUAAUACCUUGCUGUUUUGGCGUUACCGACAGAAUAAGCACCGGCUAACUUCGUGCCAGCAGCCGCGGUAAUACGAAGGGUGCAAGCGUUAAUCGGAAUUACUGGGCGUAAAGCGCGCGUAGGUGGUUUGAUAAGUUGGAUGUGAAAGCCCCGGGCUCAACCUGGGAAUUGCAUCCAAAACUGUCUGACUAGAGUAUGGCAGAGGGUGGUGGAAUUUCCUGUGUAGCGGUGAAAUGCGUAGAUAUAGGAAGGAACACCAGUGGCGAAGGCGACCGCCUGGGCUAAUACUGACACUGAGGUGCGAAAGCGUGGGGAGCAAACAGGAUUAGAUACCCUGCUAGUCCACGCCGUAAACGAUGUCGACUAGCCGUUGGGGUCCUUGAGAUCUUAGUGGCGCAGCUAACGCAUUAAGUCGACCGCCUGGGGAGUACGGCCGCAAGGUUACAACUCAAAUGAAUUGACGGAA
Molecule: ribosomal RNA, 866 nt
Filed under: uncultured bacterium
Lineage: Bacteria
Description: bacterial SSU rRNA
Rfam family: Bacterial small subunit ribosomal RNA
Source: RNAcentral